AGACCUUUAGUUUGAACCCCGAAACCAGGUGAGCUACCCCGAGACAGCCUAUAUUGAUUUAGGGCUAACCCGUCUCUGUGGCAAAAGAGUGGGAAGAGCUCCGGGUAGAAGUGACAGACCUACCGAACCUGGUGAUAGCUGGUUGCCUGAGAAGUGGAUAGAAGUUCAGCCUCGCACACCCCAAGCCAGAGAAUACACCGCUAAGGCACUCAGGGAAAUGUGGGAGAGUUAGUUAAAGGGGGUACAGCCCCUUUAACAAAGGAUACAACCUUUGCAGGAGGAUAAAGAUCAUAAUAUAUAAAACAUGCUGCUCUAGUGGGCCUAAAGGCAGCCACCUAAACAGAAAGCGUUAAAGCUCAGGCAGAAAGAAGUUUAUUAUACCGAUAAAAAAUCUUACUCCCCUAAUUAUAUCAGGCCAACCCAUGCCAACAUGGAAGAGAUUAUGCUAAAAUGAGUAACAAGAAGACCUGCUCUUCUCCCAGCACAAGUGUAAGCCAGAUCGGACUAACCGCUGGAACUUAACGAACCCAACCCAAGAGGGUAGUGUGAAUAGUACAGACCCCAAGAAGAACUCACAACUAAACAAUCGUUAACCCCACACUGCAGUGCUAUUAUAAAGGAAAGACUAAAAGAGGGGGAAGGAACUCGGCAAACACAAGCCUCGCCUGUUUACCAAAAACAUCGCCUCCUGCAACUAUAUUGAGUAUAGGAGGUCCAGCCUGCCCAGUGACUACGGGUUCAACGGCCGCGGUAUUUUGACCGUGCAAAGGUAGCGCAAUCACUUGUCUCUUAAAUAGAGACCUGUAUGAAUGGCUAGACGAGGGCUUAACUGUCUCCCCCCUCCAGUCAGUGAAAUUGAUCUAUCCGUGCAGAAUCGGGUAUAAUUAUACAAGACGAGAAGACCCUUUGGAGCUUAAGGUACAAAAUCCAACCACGUUAAACGACCCCCUAAAGGGCAAGAACUUAGUGGCCAAUGAAGUUUUACCUUCGGUUGGGGCGACCACGGAGGAGAAAAAAGCCUCCGAGUGGACUGGGUUAAAACCCAAAGCUAAGAGAUACAUCUCUAAGCCGCAGAACAUCUGACCAAAAGUGAUCCGGCUAAAAAGCCGAUCAACGAACCAAGUUACCCUAGGGAUAACAGCGCAAUCCUCUCCCAGAGUCCAUAUCGACGAGGGGGUUUACGACCUCGAUGUUGGAUCAGGACAUCCUAAUGGUGCAGCCGCUAUUAAGGGU
This 1233-nucleotide ribosomal RNA is filed under the name Alburnus tarichi (tarek). RNAcentral describes it as "partial large subunit ribosomal RNA". It matches the Rfam family "Bacterial large subunit ribosomal RNA", at positions 698 to 2572 of the family's 2925-position model. Lineage: Eukaryota; Metazoa; Chordata; Actinopteri; Cypriniformes; Leuciscidae. The record is from RNAcentral.